RNAcentral lists this ribosomal RNA (329 nucleotides) under uncultured eukaryote. RNAcentral describes it as "partial 18S ribosomal RNA". It matches the Rfam family "Eukaryotic small subunit ribosomal RNA", at positions 1470 to 1796 of the family's 1831-position model. The record is from RNAcentral.
CCCUUAGAUGUUCUGGGCCGCACGCGCGCUACACUGACGGAGGCAGCGAGCGUGUCCUUCGCCGGCAGGUGCGGGCAAUCUUGCGAGUCUCCGUCGUGCUGGGGAUAGAUGGUUGCAAUUGUCGAUCUUGAACGAGGAAUUCCUAGUAAGCGCGAGUCAUCAGCUCGCGCUGAUUACGUCCCUGCCCUUUGUACACACCGCCCGUCGCUACUACAGAGUGCCCGUGUCCAAGAAACGGUCGGACCUGUGCGGCCCCUCCGGGCGACCGGAGGGCCGUUACGGGGAAGACCCUUUAUUUGACGCGGGUCGAUGAAGUAAAAGUCGUAACA